RNAcentral lists this microRNA (23 nucleotides) under Ciona intestinalis (vase tunicate). RNAcentral describes it as "cin-miR-5605-3p". Lineage: Eukaryota; Metazoa; Chordata; Ascidiacea; Phlebobranchia; Cionidae. The record is from miRBase by way of RNAcentral.
UAGGAUGGGGGAAGAUGAGACAC